Molecule: ribosomal RNA, 351 nt
Filed under: Limosilactobacillus reuteri
Lineage: Bacteria; Bacillati; Bacillota; Bacilli; Lactobacillales; Lactobacillaceae
Description: bacterial SSU rRNA
Rfam family: Bacterial small subunit ribosomal RNA
Source: RNAcentral
ACUGAUUGAUGGUGCUUGCACCUGAUUGACGAUGGAUCACCAGUGAGUGGCGGACGGGUGAGUAACACGUAGGUAACCUGCCCCGGAGCGGGGGAUAACAUUUGGAAACAGAUGCUAAUACCGCAUAACAACAAAAGCCACAUGGCUUUUGUUUGAAAGAUGGCUUUGGCUAUCACUCUGGGAUGGACCUGCGGUGCAUUAGCUAGUUGGUAAGGUAACGGCUUACCAAGGCGAUGAUGCAUAGCCGAGUUGAGAGACUGAUCGGCCACAAUGGAACUGAGACACGGUCCAUACUCCUACGGGAGGCAGCAGUAGGGAAUCUUCCACAAUGGGCGCAAGCCUGAUGGAGCA